This 447-nucleotide ribosomal RNA is filed under the name uncultured bacterium. RNAcentral's name for it is "partial 16S ribosomal RNA". It matches the Rfam family "Bacterial small subunit ribosomal RNA", at positions 29 to 523 of the family's 1533-position model. The record is from RNAcentral.
AGUGAACGCUGGCGGUAGGCCUAACACAUGCAAGUCGAACGGUGGCUUCGGCCACAGUGGCGCACGGGUGAGUAACACGUGGGAAUUUGCCUUUCGGUUCGGGAUAACGUCUGGAAACGGACGCUAACACCGGAUACGCCCUUCGGGGGAAAGUUUACGCCGAGAGAGAAGCCCGCGUCCGAUUAGGUAGUUGGUGGGGUAACGGCCUACCAAGCCGACGAUCGGUAGCUGGUCUGAGAGGAUGAUCAGCCACACUGGGACUGAGACACGGCCCAGACUCCUACGGGAGGCAGCAGUGGGGAAUAUUGGACAAUGGGGGCAACCCUGAUCCAGCAAUGCCGCGUGAGUGAUGAAGGCCUUAGGGUUGUAAGGCUCUUUCGCACGCGACGAUGAUGACGGUAGCGUGAGAAGAAGCCCCGGCUAACUUCGUGCCAGCCGCCGCCGUAA